CAAACUUUUGAUGGCGACCGGCGCACGGGUGAGUAACACGUAUCCAACCUGCCUCAUACUCGGGGAUAGCCUUUCGAAAGAAAGAUUAAUACCCGAUGUCAUAGUCCUACCGCAUGAUGGGAUUAUUAAAGAAUUUCGGUAUGGGAUGGGGAUGCGUUCCAUUAGUUAGUUGGCGGGGUAACGGCCCACCAAGACAACGAUGGAUAGGGGUUCUGAGAGAAAGGUCCCCCACAUUGGAACUGAGACACGGUCCAAACUCCUACGGAAGGCAGCAG
RNAcentral lists this ribosomal RNA (275 nucleotides) under uncultured bacterium. RNAcentral's name for it is "partial 16S ribosomal RNA". It matches the Rfam family "Bacterial small subunit ribosomal RNA", at positions 76 to 354 of the family's 1533-position model. The record is from RNAcentral.